AGAACGAACGCUGGCGGCGUGGAUAAGACAUGCAAGUCGAACGCGACUUAUCAGGUUAGCAAUAACUCGGUAAGUUGAGUGGCGAAAGGGUGCGUAACACGUGGGAAUUUACCAAGAAGUGGGGAAUAGCUCGACGAAAGUCGAAUUAAUACCGCAUACGAUCGAAAGAUCAAAGCCGGGGACCGCAAGGCCUGGCGCUUUUUGAGAAGCCCGCGGCCCAUCAGCUAGUUGGCGGGUAAAAGCCCACCAAGGCUAUGACGGGUAGCUGGUCUGAGAGGACGACCAGCCACACUGGAACUGAGACACGGUCCAGACACCGUACGGUGGCAGCAGUCGAGUAAGUUUUUUCACAAUGG
This 356-nucleotide ribosomal RNA is filed under the name uncultured bacterium. RNAcentral describes it as "SSU rRNA". It matches the Rfam family "Bacterial small subunit ribosomal RNA", at positions 26 to 374 of the family's 1533-position model. The record is from RNAcentral.